GCACAUAUCAUUUAACAGUAAGACAUUUGACUUUCACUCGAAUAAUGAGAGUUCGAUUCUCUCUAUGUGAUU
Molecule: transfer RNA, 72 nt
Filed under: Ruminococcus sp.
Lineage: Bacteria; Bacillati; Bacillota; Clostridia; Eubacteriales; Oscillospiraceae
Description: tRNA-Glu
Rfam family: tRNA
About the family: Transfer RNA (tRNA) molecules are approximately 80 nucleotides in length.
Source: RNAcentral